GGGGUCGAUCGGUUUCGACGGUGACCUGUUCGCUGCAGGGAAGCGUGCCGAGAACGCCGGGUCCGCUCGUGGAUGACCCCGGCAAAAGAAUAAGUGCUAAAUCUAACCGCACUGAGUUCGCUCUCGCUGCCUGAUUUUUAGUCAGGAUUAACCAGUGAGCAGCCGCUCCGUUCACUCCUCUUCGUCUUUGGGAGGAUGCUGAGCGUCGUUAAGAAGACUUGCUGAUGGAGUUGAGCCUCAGGGCUCCAUCAGGACUUUUACUGCCGGGGUUCGAUUCCCCGCGACUCCACGA
RNAcentral lists this transfer-messenger RNA (292 nucleotides) under Bifidobacterium breve. It matches the Rfam family "transfer-messenger RNA". Rfam says of the family: Bacterial tmRNA, also known as 10Sa RNA or SsrA, is named for its dual tRNA and mRNA-like properties. Lineage: Bacteria; Bacillati; Actinomycetota; Actinomycetes; Bifidobacteriales; Bifidobacteriaceae. The record is from RNAcentral.